Molecule: ribosomal RNA, 443 nt
Filed under: uncultured bacterium
Lineage: Bacteria
Description: bacterial SSU rRNA
Rfam family: Bacterial small subunit ribosomal RNA
Source: RNAcentral
GUACGGGAGGCAGCAGUGGGGAAUAUUGCACAAUGGGCGAAAGCCUGAUGCAGCGACGCCGCGUGAGGGAUGACGGCCUUCGGGUUGUAAACCUCUUUCAGCAGGGAAGAAGCGCAAGUGACGGUACCUGCAGAAGAAGCACCGGCUAACUACGUGCCAGCAGCCGCGGUAAUACGUAGGGUGCGAGCGUUGUCCGGAAUUAUUGGGCGUAAAGAGCUCGUAGGCGGCCUGUCGCGUCGGAUGUGAAAGCCCGGGGCUUAACCCCGGGUCUGCAUUCGAUACGGGCAGGCUAGAGUGUGGUAGGGGAGAUCGGAAUUCCUGGUGUAGCGGUGAAAUGCGCAGAUAUCAGGAGGAACACCGGUGGCGAAGGCGGAUCUCUGGGCCAUUACUGACGCUGAGGAGCGAAAGCGUGGGGAGCGAACAGGAUUAGAUACCCCGGUAGU